GAUGAACGCUGGCUACAGGCUUAACACAUGCAAGUCGAGGGGAAACGACGGGGAAGCUUGCUUCCCCGGGCGUCGACCGGCGCACGGGUGAGUAACGCGUAUCCAACCUGCCUCUGACUGAGGGAUAACCCGUCGAAAGUCGGCCUAAUACCUCAUGGUAUCGUCUGCGGGCAUCCAACGACGAUUAAAGAUUUCAUCGGUCAGGGAUGGGGAUGCGUCUGAUUAGCUUGUUGGCGGGGUAACGGCCCACCAAGGCUACGAUCAGUAGGGGUUCUGAGAGGAAGGUCCCCCACAUUGGAACUGAGACACGGUCCAAACUCCUACGGGAGGCAGCAGUGAGGAAUAUUGGUCAAUGGGCGAGAGCCUGAACCAGCCAUGUAGCGUGCAGGAAGACGGCCCUAUGGGUUGUAAACUGCUUUUAUGCGGGGAUAAAGUGAGGGACGUGUCCCUCAUUGCAGGUACCGCAUGAAUAAGGACCGGCUAAUUCCGUG
This 491-nucleotide ribosomal RNA is filed under the name uncultured bacterium. Its description in RNAcentral is "partial 16S ribosomal RNA". It matches the Rfam family "Bacterial small subunit ribosomal RNA", at positions 28 to 507 of the family's 1533-position model. The record is from RNAcentral.